RNAcentral lists this ribosomal RNA (440 nucleotides) under uncultured bacterium. RNAcentral describes it as "partial 16S ribosomal RNA". It matches the Rfam family "Bacterial small subunit ribosomal RNA", at positions 338 to 795 of the family's 1533-position model. The record is from RNAcentral.
CCUACGGGUGGCAGCAGUGGGGAAUAUUGCACAAUGGGGUAAACCCUGAUGCAGCGACGCCGCGUGAGUGAAGCAGUAAUUCGUUAUGUAAAGUUCUAUCAGCAGGGAAGAAAAUGACGGUACCUGAGUAAGAAGCCCCGGCUAACUCCGUGCCAGCAGCCGCGGUCAUACGUAGGGGGCAAGCGGUAUCCGGCUUUACUGGGUGUAAAGGGAGCGUAGACGGUAGUGCAGGUCUGAAGUGAAAGGCCGGGGCUCAACCCCCGGACUGCUUUUGAAACUGUACGGCUGGAUUGCAGGAGAGGUAAGUGGAAUUCCUAGUGUAGCGGUGAAAUGCGUAGAUAUUAGGAGGAACACCAGUGGCGAAGGCGGCUUACUGGACUGUAACUGACGUUGAGGCUCGAAAGCGUGGGGAGCAAACAGGAUUAGAUACCCGAGUAGUC